UGUCCAGGUAGGGGAAUCGAACCCACAUUGUUCCGCUUACCGGGCAGAUGCCAUGUCCACUAGGCUACCCUGGAC
Molecule: transfer RNA, 75 nt
Filed under: Cordylochernes scorpioides
Lineage: Eukaryota; Metazoa; Arthropoda; Arachnida; Pseudoscorpiones; Chernetidae
Description: tRNA-Thr
Source: RNAcentral